RNAcentral lists this ribosomal RNA (196 nucleotides) under uncultured Gammaproteobacteria bacterium. RNAcentral describes it as "16S ribosomal RNA". It matches the Rfam family "Bacterial small subunit ribosomal RNA", at positions 338 to 526 of the family's 1533-position model. Lineage: Bacteria; Pseudomonadati; Pseudomonadota; Gammaproteobacteria. The record is from RNAcentral.
CCUACGGGAGGCAGCAGUGGGGAAUAUUGCACAAUGGGGGAAACCCUGAUGCAGCCAUGCCGCGUGUGUGAAGAAGGCCUUCGGGUUGUAAAGUACUUUCAGUAGGGAGGAAAGGUUAGUAGUUAAUACCUGCUAGCUGUGACGUUACCUACAGAAGAAGCACCGGCUAACUCCGUGCCAGCAGCCGCGGUAAUAC